CUUUUUGACUUAAGAGGGAGAGAGAGGAGGGAGAGGAGCGGAGGCUGGGGGCUGGCGGACUCAUCGAGCUCUUGCCGCUUCCCCCAUGCGUUCUCCUCGGGCUGCCCAGGCCGGGAACAUCACAACCACAGCUGCUGGUGUCUCCUAGGAUGGGGGUGCAGGACAUUGAUCUCCAGUGGCACAUCUGGUGUGGCAGCUGGAAAGUCCGCGACCACCAUGGGCAUGGGCCUCAGUGAAGACUUAAGCUGCAUGCACAACACUACAGCAACCUCAUCUCACAAAUGAAGCUCCAAAAGGCCUGGAAAACUACGCAGCUUUGUUGCCUAAAACUCCAUUGGCAUCCCUUCAGCUUGAAGGCAGUAACAGAGGCUGGAGUAGUGGGGAAGGAAGAAAGGUUCCACAUGGAGGCGAGCUCAGAUGGAAGUGCAUGUGCCCCAGAUGUCUUGCAACACCAGUCUCACUGACUGAAAUGGAAAAGAUGUGGGAUGACAGUUGAGAGUAUUGUCAAUGACUUUGCUGUGCUGUGGAUUUAAUGGGGGUUUAUUACACAUAUCUGUAAUGUGGUAGGCAGAGUUGGCCGCUUCUUACUUUGUAUUUCCUUCUCCUUCUCUCAUAUUUGCUGAUCUCUCUGGUUGCUUCAUGUUCUCUUCUUUUUAUUGGUUAUUUGUUUCUCUAUUUAUUUUGAUGCUUCUUUGCCAUAGACAAUACAAACCUUAGAAUGAGCACAGAAGGAAGAUGUAGGUUCAAAAUUUUUCCAACCAAAAAACACAAGAUGAAUUAUUCUUAACAGCAUGUUCUGAAGGCUGAAAUCCGUAAUGCAGCCUGACAUUUUAAGUGUACAUCACUUGAAUUGUUGCCAGCUUUCUAGAGUGAUUAGGUGACUUGAAAAAGGCAAAUAUUUUUUCAUAUGCUUCCACUGAACUGGAGGCUCUGCUGCUGAAAAGACUUCAAUAAUCCUGGCUGUAUUUAUUUCCCAAAGCCUCACUCAUCAUUGUCAAAAUGUUAUCAGCCAUCUCCAGCUUUCUCUCCAGCCCAGAAUCUAAUUCCAAUUAUUAAAAAAAAUCCCUUUUUGAAAAUGAAUCUUCUGCAGUACUCUCUAUUUUUCACAUAAGACUUAAUCAAUUAUUAAAAGGAAUGUAUAUGCCGAAUAACUGUUAAGCUUAAAUGAAACUGCUUUUGUGUGUUGGAGGAAGCCAUGCAGGAGCACAUGGCUCAUUCUGGGGUCUUGGGCAUGGCAAGUAAAUUCACCAGCAAGGAUUGCCUUGGAAGGAGUAUUGGAUGGAAGUAGUCAGUGCUUGACCUUGUCUUUUGAUUCUGAGUAGAAAUGACGAAUUUGGUUCUAUGAACAUAUUACAUCCUUCUGAAAAGCAGCAAGGAACUCCUAUUCUGGAAGGAGUGUCCACCCACCAAUACACACAGGAUGACUAUAAGGCCAUAAAUCCACACUUUUCCCUGUUCUGCUGGGACUUUCUUAGGAGUAAAAGGUUUGCCCUGAACUCCAGUGCAACUGGCCUUUUCCCUGCAAAUACCCAAAGGAUAGGAAAAGCUCAAGACAUCAUUAAAUGUACUCCAUUUAUUUCUACAUGAUGUUUCAUGGUGUCUGAUCUGUGAAGGUGUAGUAACAAAUCUAAUAUGUACACAAGAA
Long non-coding RNA from Gallus gallus (chicken), 1645 nucleotides. Lineage: Eukaryota; Metazoa; Chordata; Aves; Galliformes; Phasianidae. The record is from Ensembl.